Molecule: ribosomal RNA, 492 nt
Filed under: uncultured bacterium
Lineage: Bacteria
Description: partial 16S ribosomal RNA
Rfam family: Bacterial small subunit ribosomal RNA
Source: RNAcentral
AUUGAACGCUGGCGGCAUGCUUUACAUAUGCAAGUCGAACGGUAACAGGCCUUCGGGUGCUGACGAGUGGCGAACGGGUGAGUAAUGCAUCGGAACGUACCCAGAGGUGGGGGAUAACGCAGCGAAAGCUGUGCUAAUACCGCAUGUGAUCUGAGGAUGAAAGCGGGGGACCGAGCAGCAAUGUUUGGCCUCGCGCCUUUGGAGCGGCCGAUGUCGGAUUAGCUAGUUGGUGGGGUAAAGGCCUACCAAGGCGACGAUCCGUGGCUGGUCUGAGAGGACGACCAGCCACACUGGGACUGAGACACGGCCCAGACUCCUACGGGAGGCAGCAGUGGGGAAUUUUGGACAAUGGGCGCAAGCCUGAUCCAGCAAUGCCGCGUGCGGGAAGAAGGCCUUCGGGUUGUAAACCGCUUUUGGCAGGAACGAAACGGUGUCCGCUAAUACCGGGCGCUAAUGACGGUACCUGCAGAAUAAGCACCGGCUAACUACGUG